GAUGAACGCUAGCUACAGGCUUAACACAUGCAAGUCGAGGGGAAACGACAUCGAAAGCUUGCUUUUGAUGGGCGUCGACCGGCGCACGGGUGAGUAACGCGUAUCCAACCUGCCCACCACUUGGGGAUAACCUUGCGAAAGUAAGACUAAUACCCAAUGACGUCUCUAGAAGACAUCUGAAAGAGAUUAAAGAUUUAUCGGUGAUGGAUGGGGAUGCGUCUGAUUAGCUUGUUGGCGGGGUAACGGCCCACCAAGGCAACGAUCGGUAGGGGUUCUGAGAGGAAGGUCCCCCACAUUGGAACUGAGACACGGUCCAAACUCCUACGGGAGGCAGCAGUGAGGAAUAUUGGUCAAUGGACGAGAGUCUGAACCAGCCAAGUAGCGUGCAGGAUGACGGCCCUAUGGGUUGUAAACUGCUUUUAUGCGGGGAUAAAGUGAGCCUCGUGAGGCUUUUUGCAUGUACCUUAUGAAUAAGGACCGGCUAAUUCCGUG
This 492-nucleotide ribosomal RNA is filed under the name uncultured bacterium. Its description in RNAcentral is "bacterial SSU rRNA". It matches the Rfam family "Bacterial small subunit ribosomal RNA", at positions 28 to 507 of the family's 1533-position model. The record is from RNAcentral.